Molecule: non-coding RNA, 2895 nt
Organism: Nicotiana tabacum (common tobacco)
Lineage: Eukaryota; Viridiplantae; Streptophyta; Magnoliopsida; Solanales; Solanaceae
Source: RefSeq, a predicted model, not a curated record
AACUAAAGUUAAAAGAAAAAAGAAGUAAAGCUCCAAAAAUUUCAUGUUAAUCCCUCCAAAUUAUCUUUCACCCUAAAAUCCCUCCAAUACGCUAAAAUCCCUAAGAGUUGGCCGCAAAACUUCAUCAAAAUGCACAAGGUUGCAAAGAACUUAGAAGGUAGGUUAGUGUCUAAUAUUCAUCACUCUCCAAGAGACUACACAAAUUAUACCAUUGGAUUAUCCACCUAAAAAAGAAAGAGAAGGAGCAUUGAGGUUGAUGGUAUGCCGCACUUAUGUUGUUUCAUGUGCAAGAGCUUCUCAGAUGUCUAUAGCAUUGAAGUUACCUGUGUAAUUUCAGCCUACCAUAUGGUUGGUACAAAUGUUGCAUUGAAUCAAGAUGAAAAUGAAUAUGGGGUACCCCAAGAAUAUUGACAGGUAUUCAGAUGUCUAUAGCAUUGCAUGUUCUGCUGGCGUAGCUACUGCUGGUACAACAGUUGAUGAUGUAGCUACUGCUGGUGCCUGUUCUAUGUUUUAAAUUCAUAAAAUUGAAAUAAAGGUAAGGUAUAUACUAAACUUUGGUCAAAUUAAUUCAAGCCUCAUUGUAGAACUAUGUCGAUCCUAAAACAAUUGAGAAACAUGUGCGUUUGGUUAAUUAAACAUGUUCUUUACUUUUAGUGGGAUCUGAUAAAAAUUUCUCUAUAUACUUUGUAGGCUCAAAUCCAUGAAUUGGUGCAGUCUGAACCAUCACUUCCUAGAAUAGAGAUUGUAGAAAAAUGCUUUGGACCUCAAAGUGAUAGUCAUGUAUUUGGUUUUGGGGGUGGAUUAAAGGUGAAAGAUUUGACAGGUGGAACUGCCUCAAAAACCGAAUUAUUGGCUAAGUUACGUUCAAUUGAAAAUAAAAACCAGUCUUUGAAGGAUCGUUUGUCUAACUUUGAAAAUGAAAUGAGAGAACUUAAGCAAAUAAAAGAAUUAGUAUUAGUGCAACAAACUAAUUUCCAGCCUCAAUUUCAGGAGGAUGAUUAUUCGGACCUUGAUGAUACCAAUGCCCCCAAAACUCCAUGGAGAGAGAUGAGCUUAAAUCAGCCCACUUGGUGAUUUACGUGUUAACAAAGCCUCUUCGGCCGAGUGUGUUAAUUUCAUGCUUUCAAGAAACCCUUGGCUUCGAAAACAAGAGGCAUGUAAAAAGGGGGAAACUUCCAACUCGUGCAAGUCUGCUAAAGGGCAGACAUAUCCUGGGGAUAGAUGAUAAUGCUGUAAACAGAAGAGUGGCAGAAGGUGCUCUCAAAAAGUAUUGAGCUAUAUCAGCCUGUGUGGAUAGUAGGAAGGCUGCUUUGGCAAUUUUCACGCCACCACAUAAGUAUGAUGCUUGCUUUAUAGAUCUCCAAAUGCCAUAAAUGGAAGGGUAAGUACUUAAUUUAUUUCUUGAUCAUUCUUGUCAUCAUAUGUAGCUGUUCUAUGUGCAUAUAAACCAAUAAAAUUAAAGGGAUCAGGGUGGCUUUUUGUGGGCUAAAGAAAAAGCUAAUGCUAUAUUCUUGAGAACACAUGCAUUCUUAUGAGUUGGGAUAUGAAUUGCUUCAAUGCCUUUGCUGUGUCCUAUAAUUGAGAUAGAGAACUCAAUGAUUACCUCUGCUUGCCUUGGUGAACAAGUUCUAUUACUUGAUUGUUGAAUUUUGUACUUAUCCUUUAGAACAUUAUCCCUUAGCUUAUUGGUUUUGCCAAUAUUAGCAAUAACAACAGAUGUUAUUCAAGCAACAGAUGCAGAGUGCAUGAAGUGUGAGAUGGAUUAUUAUGUGGCAAAACCAUUUGAAGAAGGGCAACUUUAUUCAGCAAUCGCCCACUUCUUUGUGUGUGGUUGAUUAGGAGGUGUUUCAAGUAACUAUAUAAUGGAGGUACCUGUUGAGGUUCCGCCUGAUGGUUUAAUUUAAUUUGGUUGUGAAAAAGCUCAUCAGUUGUCUGAAUGUCCGAUUAAUGCAUUUCUAUGUUGGAAGUGGAUGGAGGACCUUGGCUGCUCAGAUGUCUGAUAGUUGGUUCAUAAUGUUGCUGCUGGAUAAUGUAGCAGAUUCAGAGCAAAUACAUCUAUCAUGACUUAUGUGAUUAACCAUCAUUUUGCUGGGAAUUUCAAGAAAAUUUUACAUUACAAUCGCGAGAUAUUAGUGAUAUGUAGUUUUUUGCUAAAUGUUUAUGAACACAGUAUUUUGACUAGCUUACAUUAUUGAUGUAUGGUGCAACUAACUGAUGCUGAUCAUUUUUGGUAUUAUUUUAUGAAAGCAACAUCAUCUAUAUAUUAAUAUUCUCGAUUUUCUACUUGCAAAUUAAAUGUGAUUUAGAGACUUGUGAAUUGUUUCUUUAGGGACUAGACUAUUAGUCCUUAAAUCCUUUUCAGGAAUGAAAAAUUUGAUUGCUAAAUUUGUAGCUUUGUAGUGUUGACCUGUUCGACUAAGGGACCAGCUUUAAACAAAAGAUAUAACGGCCAGCUUCUAACUGGCCCCGAAACUUAUUAAUGACCACAUUUAAACUAGUCCCGAAAAUAUUUUAAGGACCAGGAAUUUAGUCACUAAAAUAUGCAAAUAGGCACCAGAAACAUGGUCCUUAAAAACCGUUUAAGGGCUAGUUUUAAACUGGCCGCAAAACAGUUUUAGCGACCAUCACCGUAUCUCGUACUUACUGACCUUUAGCGGCGGAAGCUAUAAGGACCAGAAUAGCUGGUCGCUAUUGACCAUUUAGGACCAAUUUCUUACUUUUAGGGACCAGUUUUCCUUUCGCUAUUGACCAUUUUUCUUGUAGUGUAUUCCAUAAUUCCCAUGAAGGGCUAGGGUAAUGACUAAUAUCAGGAGACAGAGAUCGGAAGAUAGCUUAAGCCUACAUAAAGGCUGAUUAGAAGGAAAAGGAAACUAAAGAGUUACAUCAACUAAAAAA